GUCAAUACCGAAAUAUCAAUUAUAAAAGAUUCUGAAAUGCCAAAUGUAAAACAAAUCAAACGAAAACAUAACGGCUUUAUUCAUGUACAAAAUAGAUGAUUACGUAACGUAAAAUAAUAAUGAUACACAGCAACAAACUACAAUCAUUGAUUUGCAGGGGACAGUCAAAUGGCAAAUGUAGAAUAUAUUGGGGUUAAACUUAUUGAAGGCGCC
This 213-nucleotide long non-coding RNA is filed under the name Mytilus galloprovincialis (Mediterranean mussel). The record is from RNAcentral. Lineage: Eukaryota; Metazoa; Mollusca; Bivalvia; Mytilida; Mytilidae.